RNAcentral lists this ribosomal RNA (339 nucleotides) under Vibrio alginolyticus. RNAcentral describes it as "partial 23S ribosomal RNA". It matches the Rfam family "Bacterial large subunit ribosomal RNA", at positions 1411 to 1750 of the family's 2925-position model. Lineage: Bacteria; Pseudomonadati; Pseudomonadota; Gammaproteobacteria; Vibrionales; Vibrionaceae. The record is from RNAcentral.
GUAGUCGAUGGGAAACGGGUUAAUAUUCCCGUACUUCUUACAAUUGCGAUGGGGGGACGGAGAAGGCUAGGUGGGCCUGGCGACGGUUGUCCAGGUUCAAGUGCGUAGGCUUAAGAGUUAGGUAAAUCCGGCUCUUUCUAAGGCUGAGACACGACGUCGAGCUACUACGGUAGUGAAGUCAUUGAUGCCAUGCUUCCAGGAAAAGCCUCUAAGCUUCAGAUUGUAAGAAAUCGUACCCCAAACCGACACAGGUGGUCGGGUAGAGAAUACCAAGGCGCUUGAGAGAACUCGGGUGAAGGAACUAGGCAAAAUGGUACCGUAACUUCGGGAGAAGGUACG